This 253-nucleotide ribosomal RNA is filed under the name uncultured bacterium. RNAcentral describes it as "partial 16S ribosomal RNA". It matches the Rfam family "Bacterial small subunit ribosomal RNA", at positions 524 to 776 of the family's 1533-position model. The record is from RNAcentral.
UACGUAGGGGGCAAGCGUUGUCCGGAUUUAUUGGGCGUAAAGAGCGUGUAGGCGGCCUGACAGGUCUGCUGUGAAAACUCGAGGCUCAACCUCGAGAUGUCGGCGGAAACCGUCUGGCUAGAGUCCGGAAGAGGAGAGUGGAAUUCCCGGUGUAGUGGUGAUAUGCGUAGAUAUCGGGAGGAACACCUGUGGCGAAGGCGGCUUUCUGGGCCUUGCCUGACGCUGAGACGCGAAAGCGUGGGGAGCGAACCGG